RNAcentral lists this ribosomal RNA (660 nucleotides) under uncultured bacterium. RNAcentral's name for it is "bacterial SSU rRNA". It matches the Rfam family "Bacterial small subunit ribosomal RNA", at positions 94 to 788 of the family's 1533-position model. The record is from RNAcentral.
AGUGGCGAACGGGUGAGUAACGCGUGAGUAUCUGCCCUUAGGAGGGGGACAACAGUUGGAAACGACUGCUAAUACCCCAUAUGUCUACGGAUGAAAGAUUUUAUCGCCUGAGGAUGAGUUCGCGUCUGAUUAGCUAGUUGGUGAGGUAAAGGCUCACCAAGGCGACGAUCAGUAGCUGGUCUGAGAGGACGAUCAGCCACACUGGGACUGAGACACGGCCCAGACUCCUACGGGAGGCAGCAGUGGGGAAUUUUCCGCAAUGGGCGAAAGCCUGACGGAGCAAGACCGCGUGAGGGAGGAAGGCUCUUGGGUUGUAAACCUCUUUUCUCAGGGAAGAAGCUCUGACGGUACCUGAGGAAUCAGCCUCGGCUAACUCCGUGCCAGCAGCCGCGGUAAUACGGAGGAGGCAAGCGUUAUCCGGAAUUAUUGGCGUAAAGCGUCCGCAGGUGGCGAUUCAAGUCUGCUGUCAAAGCACGGGGCUUAACUCCGUAAAGGCAGUGGAAACUGAAUAGCUAGAGUGCCGUAGGGGUAGAGGGAAUUCCCGGUGUAGCGGUGAAAUGCGUAGAGAUCGGGAAGAACAUCGGUGGCGAAAGCGCUCUACUGGACGGCAACUGACACUCAGGGACGAAAGCUAGGGGAGCGAAUGGGAUUAGAUACCCC